RNAcentral lists this RNase P RNA (298 nucleotides) under bovine gut metagenome. RNAcentral describes it as "Bacterial RNase P class A". It matches the Rfam family "Bacterial RNase P class A". Rfam says of the family: Ribonuclease P (RNase P) is a ubiquitous endoribonuclease, found in archaea, bacteria and eukarya as well as chloroplasts and mitochondria. The record is from RNAcentral.
CAUCAUUUUUGAUGAGGAAAGUCCGAGCAUCAAGAGAACAUGGUGCUGGUUAACGGCCAGCGGAGGCGACUCUAGGGAUAGUGCAACAGAAAUAAACCGCCAUUAUGGUAAGGAUGGAAAGGUGGUGUAAGAGACCACCGGUUGUUUAGGAAUAGACAAUGCUCUGUAAACCCCACCUGAUGCAAGGAAAGGGAAAAAGUGCGUUCUCUCGCUCCCUUGAUAAACCCGCUUGAACUUAAUGGCAACAUUAAGUCUAGAUAGAUGAUUGUCAAAUACAGAACUCGGCUUAUAGCAUAUC